GAUUAACGCUAGCGGCAGGCAUAAUACAUGCAAGUUGAACGGCAGCACAGGUAGCAAUACUGGGUGGCGAGUGGCGCACGGGUGCGUAACACGUAUGCAACCUACCCUAUACAGGCGAAUAACCUUUAGAAAUGGGGGCUAAUACGCCGUAGUAUUACAGAUGGGCAUCUAUUUGUAAUUAAAGAUUUAUCGGUAUAGGAUGGGCAUGCGUCCCAUUAGUUAGUUGGUAAGGUAACGGCUUACCAAGACGAUGAUGGGUAGGGGAUCUGAGAGGACUUACCCCCACACUGGUACUGAGACACGGACCAGACUCCUACGGGAGGCAGCAGUAAGGAAUAUUGGGCAAUGGCCGCGAGGCUGACCCAGCCAUGCCGCGUGCAGGAAGACGGCCUUAUGGGUUGUAAACUGCUUUUAUACGGGAAUAAUAGAGUGUACGCGUACAUUUAUGCAAGUAUCGUAUGAAUAAGCAUCGGCUAACUCCGUG
Molecule: ribosomal RNA, 484 nt
Filed under: uncultured bacterium
Lineage: Bacteria
Description: partial 16S ribosomal RNA
Rfam family: Bacterial small subunit ribosomal RNA
Source: RNAcentral